Long non-coding RNA from Melanotaenia boesemani (Boeseman's rainbowfish), 112 nucleotides. RefSeq lists it as uncharacterized. The record is from RefSeq and is a predicted model, not a curated record. The transcript has 3 exons. Lineage: Eukaryota; Metazoa; Chordata; Actinopteri; Atheriniformes; Melanotaeniidae.
CAAACUAUAGAUGGUAAAAUCAUUGUUGAGGAUGAACUGCUUAAUUUUAUUGUGGUUAAAAGGUGAACAUUGAGCCACAAUGAUAUUGUGACGUUACAAGAUUAAUUCUUUA